GGAAGUAAAAGUCGUAACUAGGUUUCCGUAGGUGAACCUGCGGAAGGAUCAUUAAUGAGUUGUCAUGGGGUUCGAUGCUGGCAGCCAAUUUUUGGAUGCAUGUGCUUGCCCUAACAAUCAUCUUCCAAACACCUGUGCACAUUUUUGAGGGAGUCUUGAGUUGGUUGCCGCUCUUGGGUGAUUUUCUCACAUUCCCUUAAAUCAUUAUACGCUAUUAACAAUGUUGAACGUGCUCUGUGCCGCAAGGCUAUUAAUAUAAUACAACUUUUAACAACGGAUCUCUUGGCUCUC
RNAcentral lists this unclassified non-coding RNA (291 nucleotides) under plant metagenome. RNAcentral's name for it is "partial contains small subunit ribosomal RNA, internal transcribed spacer 1, and 5.8S ribosomal RNA". The stretch from base 1 to 54 matches the Rfam family "Eukaryotic small subunit ribosomal RNA", at positions 1778 to 1831 of the family's 1831-position model. The record is from RNAcentral.